UACGGAGGAUCCAAGCGUUGUCCGGAUUUAUUGGGUUUAAAGGGUGCGUAGGCGGAAUAAUAAGUCAGUGGUGAAAGCCUGUAGCUCAACUACAGAACUGCCAUUGAAACUGUUAUUCUUGAGUUAGGUCGAGGUGGAUGGAAUGUAUCAUGUAGCGGUGAAAUGCUUAGAUAUGAUACAGAACACCGAUUGCGAAGGCAGUUCACUAGACCUACACUGACGCUGAGGCACGAAAGCAGUGGGGAUCGAACAGGAUUAGAUACCCCCGUAGUCC
This 274-nucleotide ribosomal RNA is filed under the name uncultured bacterium. Its description in RNAcentral is "partial 16S ribosomal RNA". It matches the Rfam family "Bacterial small subunit ribosomal RNA", at positions 524 to 796 of the family's 1533-position model. The record is from RNAcentral.